AUCAUGGGAUUAGAAGGGACUGCAGUGGUCAUCUAGUCCAGCCCCCUGCCAAGAUGAAGGAUUUGUUGUGUCUAAACCAUCCAAGACAGAUGGCCAUCCACCAUCUUUUUGUAAACCUCUAAUAAAGAAACUUCCACGACUUCCCUAGGGAGUUUGUUAUAUUGUCCUACUAUUCUUACAGUUAGGAAGUUUUUCUUGAGAUAUUAUCUAGAUCUACUAAGCUGUAGUUUGAACCCACUGCCUCUUCCUCAGUUUCAGUUUU
Chelonia mydas (Green sea turtle) is the source of this 262-nucleotide long non-coding RNA. RefSeq lists it as uncharacterized. The transcript has 3 exons. NCBI's taxonomy places the organism in Eukaryota, Metazoa, Chordata, Testudines, Cheloniidae. The record is from RefSeq and is a predicted model, not a curated record.